This 240-nucleotide unclassified non-coding RNA is filed under the name soil metagenome. RNAcentral's name for it is "partial contains 5.8S ribosomal RNA, internal transcribed spacer 2, and large subunit ribosomal RNA". The record is from RNAcentral.
AACUGAUACUACCUGCGGGAACCUGCGGAGGGAUCAUUAAUGAGAAACUGCCCCUCGCGGGUAGAUCUCCCACCCUUUGUAAACUUACCUUUGUUGCUUUGGCAGGCCCGUCUCCGGACCGCCGGCUUCGGCUGGCCAGUGCCUGCCAGAGGAUUCUAAAACUCUGUCUGUCAGUGUUGUCUGAGUCUAUAUACAAUCGUUAAAACUUUCAGCAAUGGAUCUCUAGAUCGGAAGAGCACA